GAUGAACGCUGGCGGCGUGCCUAAUACAUGCAAGUCGAGCGAACAGACGAGGAGCUUGCUCCUCUGACGUUAGCGGCGGACGGGUGAGUAACACGUGGAUAACCUACCUAUAAGACUGGGAUGACUUCGGGAAACCGGAGCUAAUACCGGAUAAUAUAUUGAACCGCAUGGUUCAAUAGUGAAAUACGGUUUUGCUGUCACUUAUAGAUGGAUCCGCGCCGCAUUAGCUAGUUGGUAAGGUAACGGCUUACCAAGGCAACGAUGCGUAGCCGAUCUGAGAGGGUGAUCGGCCACACUGGAACUGAGACACGGUCCAGACUCCUACGGGAGGCAGCAGUAGGGAAUCUUCCGCAAUGGGCGAAAGCUUGACGGAGCAACGCCGCGUGAGUGAUGAAGGUCUUCGGAUCGUAAAACUCUGUUAUUAGGGAAGAACAAAUGUGUAAGUAACUAUGCACGUCUUGACGGUACCUAAUCAGAAAGCCACGGCUAACUACGUG
Molecule: ribosomal RNA, 497 nt
Filed under: uncultured bacterium
Lineage: Bacteria
Description: partial 16S ribosomal RNA
Rfam family: Bacterial small subunit ribosomal RNA
Source: RNAcentral